RNAcentral lists this ribosomal RNA (431 nucleotides) under uncultured bacterium. RNAcentral describes it as "bacterial SSU rRNA". It matches the Rfam family "Bacterial small subunit ribosomal RNA", at positions 30 to 506 of the family's 1533-position model. The record is from RNAcentral.
UUGAACGCUGGCGGUAUGCUUAACACAUGCAAGUCGAACGAAGGCUUCGGCCUUAGUGGCGCACGGGUGCGUAACGCGUGGGAAUCUGCCUCUCGGUUCGGGAUAACAGUUGGAAACGACUGCUAAUACCGGAUGAUGACUUCGGUCCAAAGAUUUAUCGCCGAGAGAUGAGCCCGCGUAGGAUUAGGUAGUUGGUGGGGUAAAGGCCUACCAAGCCGACGAUCCUUAGCUGGUCUGAGAGGAUGAUCAGCCACACUGGGACUGAGACACGGUCCAGACUCCUACGGGAGGCAGCAGUGGGGAAUAUUGGACAAUGGGCGAAAGCCUGAUCCAGCAAUGCCGCGUGAGUGAUGAAGGCCUUAGGGUUGUAAAGCUCUUUUACCCGGGAUGAUAAUGACAGUACCGGGAGAAUAAGCUCCGGCUAACUCCGU